GACGAACCACCCAAACGUUAUUCGGAAUUACUGGGCUUAAAGGGUGCGUAGGCGGCGCGGAAAGUCAGAUGUGAAAUCCCUCGGCUCAACCGAGGAACUGCGUUUGAAACUACCGUGCUCGAAUGAGACAGAGGUAAGCGGAACUUCGGGUGGAGCGGUGAAGUGCGUUGAUAUCCGAAGGAACACCGGUGGCGAAAGCGGCUUACUGGGUCUUUACUGACGCUGAUGCACGAAAGCGUGGGGAGCAAACAGG
This 253-nucleotide unclassified non-coding RNA is filed under the name uncultured Pirellulaceae bacterium. RNAcentral describes it as "contains 16S-23S intergenic spacer region". It matches the Rfam family "Bacterial small subunit ribosomal RNA", at positions 524 to 776 of the family's 1533-position model. Lineage: Bacteria; Pseudomonadati; Planctomycetota; Planctomycetia; Pirellulales; Pirellulaceae. The record is from RNAcentral.